Molecule: ribosomal RNA, 390 nt
Filed under: uncultured bacterium
Lineage: Bacteria
Description: bacterial SSU rRNA
Rfam family: Bacterial small subunit ribosomal RNA
Source: RNAcentral
GAGUACAGUGGCGCACGGGUGAGUAACACGUGACUUAUCUACCCUCGAGUGGGGAAUAACUUCGGGAAACCGAGGCUAAUACCGCAUAAUACCCACGGGUCAAAGGAGCAAUUCGCUUGAGGAGGAGGUCGCGGCCGAUUAGUUAGUUGGCGGGGUAAUGGCCCCACCCAAGACGGUGAUCGGUAUCCGGCCUGAGAGGGCGCACGGACACACUGGAACUGAAACACGGUCCAGACUCCUACGGGAGGCAGCAGUGGGGAAUUUUGCGCAAUGGGGGAAACCCUGACGCAGCAACGCCGCGUGGAGGAUGAAGUCUCUUGGGACGUAAACUCCUUUCGAUCGGGACGAUUUAUGACGGUACCGGAAGAAGAAGCCCCGGCUAACUUCGUG